Molecule: long non-coding RNA, 1415 nt
Filed under: Mus musculus (house mouse)
Lineage: Eukaryota; Metazoa; Chordata; Mammalia; Rodentia; Muridae
Description: long non-coding RNA chr2:49041881-49043296
Source: RNAcentral
UGACAGUAUAAGUUACUAUCUGUGGAUAGGCUAAUUAUUAAAAAAUUGUUCUUUACCUUAGGAAAAUACAAGUAUUUAUAAAUUUAAUAAUGAAUAUCUUUCCCCAAAAGAUACCUUUUUAAAUUUUCUUUUACAUUUGGGUUACUUAAAUAUCAUUUGUCUAAGCUUUCAUUUUUCUUAAAACUACAAGAAUGAUUUUCUUUUUUUUUACCUUUUUUCUUUGUUUCCUUAAUGAAGUCAGCAGUUCUUUGUAUAGACCAACUUAUCUUUUCCUCUGUUUAGAAAAACAUUCUAAACAGAGCUCUGGUAAUCUUUAAUCUAAAUAAAGCAGAGAUAGCCUGGUCUACCCAGAAUUCUAAGACAGGCAGGCCUAUACAAAGAAAAACUGUAAAUGUUGCUUUUAUUUAUUCAAAGGAAGAGAUGAAAUGAGAACUGUUCCAAGCUAAGUGCAUACAGGGUUUGGGCUAAGCCCAGAGCUUUCCUUUCUCUGUCACUAGCUUCUUUCCUCUUUAUAAUCUUGUCUUCCAAGCUGACUGAUUCAAUCUGGCUGUUGUAGGCUUCUGACUGAAUUGCUGUCUGGUUUCAUACUUUAUGAAUAUGUUUUACUCUUCUGGCUCCUUUGCAUUCUCUGGCUAGUUCUCUCUUCACCUCUUCUCUCUGUGUUCACUUGUUCUCUCGGCAACCUGUCCUGCUACAACUGCCAUACACAUAUAACACUCACCACAUACCAUGCCCCACAUUUUUCUCUCACUGCUGUUCAUGAAUCUACUGUUCAUCUCUCUUCAUCUACUGAAGCCUCUCUUCAUGUACUGUUCUUAUGUUCUGCCUCUGACUCAUUCUGUCAAAUCUUCUCUGAUUGGUAAUUUUGUCUGCUCAAUUAGACUUCACUUUCAAACAUGGCUUCUUCCUUCUGCAAGCUAACCUUGCCUUCAUUGUUAAAAAUUCAAAGUGUAUGAAACCAGACAGCAAUUCAGUCAGAAGCCUACAGCAGCCAGAUUGAGUCAGUCAGCUUGGAAGACUAAGGUAUGUCUGUGUUCCAUGCAGAGAGGAUGUACUAAAGGUCUGUACUAAGGGUUUUUUGUAUUCUAGCCACAAUCUAGGGUAUGUCUGCAUUCCAGCCACAUCACAUACUCCUAGAAGGUCUUUGGAUGUGAUCUUUUACCCAAGCAGCCAUGCUACUGAAUUAAAAUUCCUCUGCAAAACCCUGUUUCAAAACAAAAAACAAAAACAAGGGGCUGGAGAGAUGUCUCAGUGGAUAAGAGCACUGACUGCUCUUCUAGAGGACCUGAGUUCAUUUCCCAGCAACUACAUGGUGGCUCACAGUCAUCUGUAAUGGGAUCAGAUGCCCUCUUUCAGUGUGUCUGAAGACAGUUACAAUAUACUCAUAUAAAUAAAAAUAAAUUUUAAAAAAUCUU